Molecule: long non-coding RNA, 1239 nt
Filed under: Cottoperca gobio
Lineage: Eukaryota; Metazoa; Chordata; Actinopteri; Perciformes; Bovichtidae
Description: lncRNA (ENSCGOG00000011750.1)
Source: RNAcentral
AUGCCUGUUUUGGAUGUUGAGCCACAAGACCACAACUCAUCCAGCCUGCAGCUUGAUAUUCAAGAUCUCUCCCCCUGCCCAUCUCCUGACCCUUACUCCCUGCCUCCAGUCCUCAGCCCACAAGUCCCUUAUCCCUCCUACAUUAUGGAGCCGCGCUGCCUGUACUCGGAGCCUCCUGUCCUCAGUCCUCAACUGUGCACUGCAGAGGAGGCUGUGGAAGGACACACUUGUGAAAUGGACACUGCAGAAAGUGUGUCUCAGUCUGUCCCGGAUCCUAACUCCACCCCACUUUUUCCCUCUGUGAAUUUAACAAAUGCAGAAGGAGAAACGGGAUCAAAGCAACAAAGCCUUUUAGGAUUUAGUGCUAUCUCAUGUUCCACCAAUGGUUGGAAGUGUGCUCUGCUGUUGUCACGUAGAUCUCGCUCCCUCCCUCGACGGUCAGCGUCGGCAGUAAACCCCAAAAAGCGCUGUAGAUCAGCCAGCCCCGAACACAGCCGGAGCAAAAGGAGGAGGAUUACAGCGGAUUUUGGGUACUGUGGUAGCUGGACUGAACAAGGGCAUAAAUCUGCCAAACCAGACAUUAUGGCAAAACCUGAGGGCUGGUUGUUAUUUGAUAAGGUCUUUUGUCAGGUAAUGCAGUCCUGUCCUGUGCCAAAGGUCUCUCCAACAUGCACUGUGGAAACACUUGGUUCAAAACAGACUUUUACAAAGUUUUGUGUUCCUACAUUACAGAAUUUCCCUCAAAUGGCACCAAAUCAAAUGGACAUUUUAGGUCAUGGUAGCACUUAUGUUGCUGAUCAUCCAUCACAGCCACUCUCCUCAAAUGCAAAGACUUGUGAUCCGCCACCUCAGUUCCCCAAAGCUAAAUCUCACAGUGCAUUUUCCGGUCAAGUCUCUCAACAUACGCUAUCCCACUCUACCUCAGUGUGCAUAGAGUCAUUCCUCAUCCCAGACUUAGCCACGUUCUCUUCAUCAUCAUCAGACUCUGACUGGGACUGUGGCUUGCUGUCUCAGCUCGGACCGACCUCUGCUGCUCCUCUGUCACCCACUGAGCAGAGCUGUGAGCUUGACAAGGAGCUCCUCCACAUGCCGUGCACCUGGAUGCACGACACCAGCUAUGAGUCACGUCUACACACAGUCCUUCAGCCGCCAAACCCAGCCGCCUCACUGUGUGGGGAAGAAAUGGAGCCCUCAGCAUUUUCCAGGACUCUAGUGCAGAUUGUUGAGGUUCAGCACUGA